RNAcentral lists this ribosomal RNA (388 nucleotides) under uncultured bacterium. Its description in RNAcentral is "bacterial SSU rRNA". It matches the Rfam family "Bacterial small subunit ribosomal RNA", at positions 28 to 416 of the family's 1533-position model. The record is from RNAcentral.
GACGAACGCUGGCGGCGUGCUUAACACAUGCAAGUCGAGCGGUAAGGCCCUUUCGGGGGUACACGAGCGGCGAACGGGUGAGUAACACGUGGGUGACCUGCCCUCAGCUCUGGGAUAAGCCUGGGAAACCGGGUCUAAUACUGGAUAUGACUCCAUGACGCAUGUUGUGGGGUGGAAAGCCUUGUGCGGCUGAGGAUGGGCCCGCGGCCUAUCAGCUUGUUGGUGGGGUGANGGCCUACCAAGGCGACGACGGGUAGCCGGCCUCGAGAGGGCGACCGGCCACACUGGGACUGAGACACGGCCCAGACUCCUACGGGAGGCAGCAGUGGGGAAUCUUGCGCAAUGGGCGAAAGCCUGACGCAGCGACGCCGCGUGAGGGAUGACGGCC